RNAcentral lists this transfer RNA (72 nucleotides) under Lentzea guizhouensis. RNAcentral describes it as "tRNA-Glu". It matches the Rfam family "tRNA". From Rfam's summary of the family: Transfer RNA (tRNA) molecules are approximately 80 nucleotides in length. Their secondary structure includes four short double-helical elements and three loops (D, anti-codon, and T loops). Lineage: Bacteria; Bacillati; Actinomycetota; Actinomycetes; Pseudonocardiales; Pseudonocardiaceae. The record is from RNAcentral.
GGCCGGUGAGCCAUACGGUUGAGGCACCGCCCUUUCAAGGCGGGGAACCGGGUUCGAUUCCCGGAUCGGCUA